RNAcentral lists this transfer RNA (73 nucleotides) under Balaenoptera musculus (blue whale). It matches the Rfam family "tRNA". Rfam says of the family: Transfer RNA (tRNA) molecules are approximately 80 nucleotides in length. Their secondary structure includes four short double-helical elements and three loops (D, anti-codon, and T loops). Further hydrogen bonds mediate the characteristic L-shaped molecular structure. tRNAs have two regions of fundamental functional importance: the anti-codon, which is responsible for specific mRNA codon recognition, and the 3' end, to which the tRNAs corresponding amino acid is attached (by aminoacyl-tRNA synthetases). tRNAs cope with the degeneracy of the genetic code in two manners: having more than one tRNA (with a specific anti-codon) for a particular amino acid; and 'wobble' base-pairing, i.e. permitting non-standard base-pairing at the 3rd anti-codon position. The record is from Rfam by way of RNAcentral. Lineage: Eukaryota; Metazoa; Chordata; Mammalia; Artiodactyla; Balaenopteridae. RNAcentral also lists the same sequence under 1 other name.
UCCCUGGAGGUCCAGUGGUUAGGACUCUGCACUUCGACUGCAGGGGGCACAGGUUCGAUCCCUGGUCAGGGAA